RNAcentral lists this ribosomal RNA (1388 nucleotides) under uncultured Bacteroidota bacterium. Its description in RNAcentral is "uncultured Bacteroidetes bacterium 16S ribosomal RNA". It matches the Rfam family "Bacterial small subunit ribosomal RNA". The record is from RNAcentral. Lineage: Bacteria; Pseudomonadati; Bacteroidota.
CAUGCAAGUCGAACGGUAACAGCAGAGCUUGCUCUGGCUGACGAGUGGCGCACGGGUGCGUAACGCGUAUACAAUCUACCUUAUACAGGGGGAUAGCCUUUGGAAACGAAGAUUAAUACCCCAUAGUAUUAUUGAGUGGCAUCAUUUAAUAAUUAAAAUUUCGAUGGUAUAAGAUGAGUAUGCGUUCUAUUAGCUAGUUGGGGAGGUAACGGCUCACCAAGGCGACGAUAGAUAGGGGUCCUGAGAGGGAGAUCCCCCACACUGGUACUGAGACACGGACCAGACCCCUACGGGAGGCAGCAGUGAGGAAUAUUGGACAAUGGAGGCAACUCUGAUCCAGCCAUGCCGCGUGCAGGAAGACUGCCCUAUGGGUUGUAAACUGCUUUUAUAUGGGAAGAAUAAGGUGUAUGUAUACACUGAUGACGGUACCAUAAGAAUAAGCACCGGCUAACUCCGUGCCAGCAGCCGCGGUAAUACGGAGGGUGCAAGCGUUAUCCGGAAUCAUUGGGUUUAAAGGGUCCGUAGGCGGAAUUAUAAGUCAGUGGUGAAAGUUUUUGGCUCAACCAAAAAAUUGCCAUUGAUACUGUAGUUCUAGAAUCGUUGUGCAGUGGUUAGAAUAUGUAGUGUAGCGGUGAAAUGCUUAGAUAUUACAUAGAAUACCGAUUGCGAAGGCAGAUCACUAACAACGUAUUGACGCUGAUGGACGAAAGCGUAGGUAGCGAACAGGAUUAGAUACCCUGGUAGUCUACGCCGUAAACGAUGGAUACUAGUUGUUUGGCUUUCGAGCUGAGUGACUAAGCGAAAGUGAUAAGUAUCCCACCUGGGGAGUACGUUCGCAAGAAUGAAACUCAAAGGAAUUGACGGGGGCCCGCACAAGCGGUGGAGCAUGUGGUUUAAUUCGAUGAUACGCGAGGAACCUUACCAGGGCUUAAAUGUAUGUUGACAGGUUUAGAGAUAGACUUUUCUUCGGACAAUAUACAAGGUGCUGCAUGGUUGUCGUCAGCUCGUGCCGUGAGGUGUCAGGUUAAGUCCUAUAACGAGCGCAACCCCUGUUGUUAGUUGCCAUCGAGUAAUGUCGGGAACUCUAGCAAGACUGCCGGUGCAAACCGCGAGGAAGGUGGGGAUGACGUCAAAUCAUCACGGCCCUUACGUCCUGGGCCACACACGUGCUACAAUGGUAGGUACAAUGAGCAGCCACUGCGUGAGCAGGAGCGAAUCUAAAAAACCUAUCUCAGUUCGGAUCGUAGUCUGCAACUCGACUACGUGAAGCUGGAAUCGCUAGUAAUCGGAUAUCAGCCAUGAUCCGGUGAAUACGUUCCCGGGCCUUGUACACACCGCCCGUCAAGCCAUGGAAGCUGGGAGUACCUGAAGUCCGUCACCGUAAGGAG